Molecule: ribosomal RNA, 481 nt
Filed under: uncultured bacterium
Lineage: Bacteria
Description: SSU rRNA
Rfam family: Bacterial small subunit ribosomal RNA
Source: RNAcentral
AGAACGAACGCUGGCGGCAUGCCUAACACAUGCAAGUCGAACGCUCCUAGGGCUUCGGUCUCAGGGGAGUGGCGCACGGGUGAGUAGCGCGUGGGAACCUGCCCUGUUGUGGGGGAUAACCGAGGGAAACUUCGGCUAAUACCGCAUACGCCCCGGGACUUGGUCUUCGGAUUAGGUCUGGGGGGAAAGAUUGAUCGCAGCAGGAGGGGCCCGCGUCGGAUUAGCUGGUUGGUGGGGUAACGGCUCACCAAGGCGAUGAUCCGUAGCUGGUCUGAGAGGAUGAUCAGCCACACUGGGACUGAGACACGGCCCAGACUCCUACGGGAGGCAGCAGUGGGGAAUAUUGGACAAUGGGGGCAACCCUGAUCCAGCAAUGCCGCGUGAGUGAUGAAGGCCUUAGGGUUGUAAAGCUCUUUCGCCGCGACGAUGAUGACGGUAGCGGGAGAAGAAGCCCGGCUAACUUCGUGCCAGCAGCCGCGGU